GACGAACGCUGGCGGCGUGCUUAACACAUGCAAGUCGUACGGUAAGGCCCUUUCGGGGGUACACGAGUGGCGAACGGGUGCGUAACACGUGAGUAACCUGCCCACAACUUUGGGAUAACGCUAGGAAACUGGUGCUAAUACUGGUUAUGUGCUCCUGCUGCUUGGUGGGGGUUGGAAAGCUCCGGCGGUUGUGGAUGGACUCGCGGCCUAUCAGCUUGUUGGUGGGGUAGUGGCCUACCAAGGCGGCGACGGGUAGCCGGCCUGAGAGGGUGACCGGCGAAAUUGGGACUGAGAUACGGCCCAGAGUCCUACGGGAGGCAGCAGGGGGGAAUAUUGCACAAUGGGCGCAAGCCUGAUGCAGCAACGCCGCGUGCGGGAUGACGGCCUUCGGGUUGUAAAACGCUUUCAGCAGGGACGAAGCUUUUUGUGACGGUACCUGCAGAAGAAGCACCGGCUAACUACGUG
Molecule: ribosomal RNA, 465 nt
Filed under: uncultured bacterium
Lineage: Bacteria
Description: partial 16S ribosomal RNA
Rfam family: Bacterial small subunit ribosomal RNA
Source: RNAcentral